This 835-nucleotide long non-coding RNA is filed under the name Mus caroli (Ryukyu mouse). RNAcentral describes it as "lncRNA (MGP_CAROLIEiJ_G0034437.1)". Lineage: Eukaryota; Metazoa; Chordata; Mammalia; Rodentia; Muridae. The record is from RNAcentral.
GCUCUCCAGCUGAUGGACCCAGGCAAUCUGACACUCAGAGGGUGAGAGUCCAUGAUGUGGGAGUGAAGGAACACACGAGAGCUCACCUCUUGAUCUACAACCAGGAGGCACAGAAGUGCAGGCAUGCUGCGAAGUGCAGGAGCCUUUUGAAACCCCACAGCCCACACUCAGGGACACAUCUCCUCCAACAAGACACAAUACUUCCGAAACCUAAACAGUCCUACUGAUUAGGGACCAAAUCCUGGAAUAUGUGAAUGAGCUAAUAGGGCCCUUCUCUCUCAAUCCAACUGCUCUUUUCAUCUUCUGUUAUCACUGCAGGGCGCUGAGGAUCCACCCACAGAAAUCUGUUGCUUCCUGAAAUUGCUGCAGUCUAGGAGGUCAAAUAACAGCUACCCCUUUGGACAUUUAAUCCUUGUAUACUUUUGUAUGGGACAGCCUCGUUACUGAAAAGCUAGAAUUGUGCUUCCCGCACAGUGCCUUGCUUAUAUCAAACACAAUAUCUAAUGUAUGAAGAAAUCACUAACCAUCUUAACUUCUGGGAGAGACACAUCAAGUACGCAUUUUGAUUAUGUACAUUCGAAUUGUUAAACGUUUUAAACACAAAGGAGCAUAGAAUAUGAACUGCUAGCGCUAGGUACCCAGAUUUAAUAGGCGAGGAACGUUGUCGUGUUUCACCUUUAGGAAAGGAAGGAUUGAAAAAUGCAAUACCAUUUUCUUUAAAAAAUAUUCUCCCAGGGAUGGAGAGGCGCUUCAGUAGUGAAGAGCACUUGCUGCUCUUAUAGAGGACCAAGGUUCUGUUCCUAGCACCCGCAUGGUGGCUCACAACCAUCUGCAG